GCACUGCUGAAGUGUCCCAAACAGGACGAAACAGCUGUCCAGUGC
RNAcentral lists this non-coding RNA (45 nucleotides) under Echinostoma caproni. The record is from RNAcentral. Lineage: Eukaryota; Metazoa; Platyhelminthes; Trematoda; Plagiorchiida; Echinostomatidae.